UUUUGGGCUUAACUAGCUGUGGAGCACUUGAAAACUCCACAGUUAAGAGUGUUCAGCUGAGAAUAGUACUAGGAUGGGUGACCUCCUGUGAAGUCUCCACCAGGGCAACCA
Molecule: non-coding RNA, 111 nt
Organism: Helianthus annuus (common sunflower)
Lineage: Eukaryota; Viridiplantae; Streptophyta; Magnoliopsida; Asterales; Asteraceae
Source: Rfam